This 449-nucleotide ribosomal RNA is filed under the name uncultured bacterium. RNAcentral's name for it is "partial 16S ribosomal RNA". It matches the Rfam family "Bacterial small subunit ribosomal RNA", at positions 29 to 523 of the family's 1533-position model. The record is from RNAcentral.
AACGAACGCUGGCGGCAGGCUUAACACAUGCAAGUCGAACGAGAUCUUCGGAUCUAGUGGCAGACGGGUGAGGAACACGUGGGAACAUCCCUUUCAGUUCGGAAUAACGUUGGGAAACUAACGCUAAUACCGGAUACGUCCUUCGGGAGAAAGAUUUAUCGCUGAAAGAUUGGCCCGCGUCUGAUUAGCUAGUUGGUGAGGUAAUGGCUCACCAAGGCUACGAUCAGUAGCUGAUCUGAGAGGAUGAUCAGCCACAUUGGGACUGAGACACGGCCCAAACUCCUACGGGAGGCAGCAGUGGGGGAUAUUGGACAAUGGGCGCAAGCCUGAUCCAGCCAUGCCGCGUGAGUGAUGACGGCCUUCGGGUUGUAAAGCUCUUUAGUCCGGGAAGAUAAUGACUGUACCGGAAGAAUAAGCCCCGGCAAACUUCGUGCCAGCAGCCGCAGUAA